Molecule: long non-coding RNA, 151 nt
Organism: Oxyura jamaicensis (ruddy duck)
Lineage: Eukaryota; Metazoa; Chordata; Aves; Anseriformes; Anatidae
Exons: 3
Source: RefSeq, a predicted model, not a curated record
CUAGAAGAGGCACAAAGAAGGUAACGAGACACCCCACUUCCUCCGCAGAGGGCUGGCGAUGCUCAUCAGUGACACACCGGCUCGGAAGUUAGCUCCAGGGCCCGGCACUGCGGGCACACCCCCCAGGUCGGGCACGUCCCCACGUCCCCAC